This 465-nucleotide ribosomal RNA is filed under the name Vreelandella stevensii. RNAcentral's name for it is "partial 16S ribosomal RNA". It matches the Rfam family "Bacterial small subunit ribosomal RNA", at positions 338 to 795 of the family's 1533-position model. Lineage: Bacteria; Pseudomonadati; Pseudomonadota; Gammaproteobacteria; Oceanospirillales; Halomonadaceae. The record is from RNAcentral.
CCUACGGGUGGCUGCAGUGGGGAAUAUUGGACAAUGGGGGCAACCCUGAUCCAGCCAUGCCGCGUGUGUGAAGAAGGCCCUCGGGUUGUAAAGCACUUUCAGUGAGGAAGAACGCCUGGUGGUUAAUACCCAUCAGGAAAGACAUCACUCACAGAAGAAGCACCGGCUAACUCCGUGCCAGCAGCCGCGGUAAUACGGAGGGUGCGAGCGUUAAUCGGAAUUACUGGGCGUAAAGCGCGCGUAGGUGGCUUGAUAAGCCGGUUGUGAAAGCCCCGGGCUCAACCUGGGAACGGCAUCCGGAACUGUCAAGCUAGAGUGCAGGAGAGGAAGGUAGAAUUCCCGGUGUAGCGGUGAAAUGCGUAGGGAUCGGGAGGAAUACCCGUGGCGAAGGCGGCCUUCUGGACUGACACUGACACUGAGGUGCGAAAGCGUGGGUAGCAAACAGGAUUAGAUACCCUGGUAGUC